This 1051-nucleotide long non-coding RNA is filed under the name Mustela putorius furo (domestic ferret). RNAcentral describes it as "lncRNA (ENSMPUG00000024327.1)". The record is from RNAcentral. Lineage: Eukaryota; Metazoa; Chordata; Mammalia; Carnivora; Mustelidae.
UGGAGAGAGGCAGGCAGAGAGAGAGGGGGAAGCAGGCUCCCUGCUGAGCAGAGAGCCUGAUGUGGGGCUCAAUCCCAGGACCCUGAGACCAUGACCUGAGCUGAAGGCAGAGGCUUAACCUUCUGAGCCACCCAGGUGCCCCUGUAGGACAUAUUUUUUUUUUAAGAUUUAUUUAUUUAUUAUUUGAGAGCAAGAGCUUGCAGGGUAGGGGGAGGAACAGAGGGCAAGGGAGAGAGAAAAUCGCAAGCAGAUGGACCCCCUGAGCUUGGAGCCUGAUGUGGGGCUUAAUCUCAUGACCUGAGCUGAGAUCAAGAGUUGCGCUCAACUGACUGAGCCACCCAGGUGCCUCUGUAUGGUAUUUUAAUGACAGAUACCUGUCAUUACAUGUUUGUCCAAACACAUGGAAUGUACAACUCCAAGGGCAAGCCCUAAGGUAUCCUGCAGGCUCAGGGUGAUUACAAUGUGUCCGUGCAGCUUUAUGGAUGAUGACAAAGAACUCCAAGGGGCACUGGUCUAGUGUCCAGGAACCACCAUACAUCAAGGAUCCACGUCUGCUGACUGCUUCAGCCUCAUGAACUGUGCCUUCUGUUUUCAUCUCUGCUCUGCCUUAAGACAGGAAACAGCCUCUCUUCCCCAGGCUCCAAUGAGAGAACUUACAGCAGAAAUGUUCCCUACAGAAGGAAGAUGCCCAAGAGAGAAGACCUGAAACGGGGCCAAGACAAGAACACUCACCUCCCCUGGGAUCCAAAAUGGGUGUGACUGAAGGAGGAUGAGUAUUGUGGAGGAAGAAUGCACGAGACAGAAAAUCCAUAAACCCAACCACAGGAUUUUGUGAACUAUCCAUGAGUCCAUGAUGUUAUCACUCAUGGAACUCAAGAGCCCACGCCAAGAUCCUGUGUGGCCACGCCCUGCUAUCACCAGCUGCUAGAGGGUCACCCCUCCCCCAGGCUCUUUUCCUCACUGGACACUCCUCACGAUUCCGGAGAACAACCCCUGUACCAGAGCACACACUUAGUUGCCAUUAUCCCAAACGACGUAAGCAAAGGUCAAC